CCUACGGGAGGCAGCAGUGGGGGAUAUUGCACAAUGGGGGAAACCCUGAUGCAGCGACGCCGCGUGAGUGAAGAAGUAUUUCGGUAUGUAAAGCUCUAUCAGCAGGGAAGAAAAUGACAGUACCUGACCAAGAAGCCCCGGCUAACUACGUGCCAGCAGCCGCGGUAAGACGUAGGGUGCAAGCGUUAUCCGGAUUUACUGGGUGAAAAGGGAGCGUAGACGGUUAUGUAAGUCUGGAGUGAAAGCACGGGGCCCAACCCCGGGACUGCUUUGGAAACUGUGUAACUGGAGUACAGGAGGGGCAGGCGGAAUUCCUGGUGUAGCGGUGAAAUGCGUAGAUAUCAGGAGGAACACCGGCGGCGAAGGCGGCCUGCUGGACUGAAACUGACGUUGAGGCUCGAAAGCGUGGGGAGCAAACAGGAUUAGAUACCCCAGUAGUC
RNAcentral lists this ribosomal RNA (440 nucleotides) under uncultured bacterium. Its description in RNAcentral is "partial 16S ribosomal RNA". It matches the Rfam family "Bacterial small subunit ribosomal RNA", at positions 338 to 795 of the family's 1533-position model. The record is from RNAcentral.